This 254-nucleotide ribosomal RNA is filed under the name uncultured bacterium. Its description in RNAcentral is "partial 16S ribosomal RNA". It matches the Rfam family "Bacterial small subunit ribosomal RNA", at positions 524 to 776 of the family's 1533-position model. The record is from RNAcentral.
UACGUAGGGUGCGAGCGUUUGUCCGGAAUUAUUGGGCGUAAAGAGCUUGUAGGCGGUCUGUCGCGUCUGCUGUGAAAAUCCGGGGCUCAACCCCGGACUUGCAGUGGGUACGGGCAGACUAGAGUGUGGUAGGGGAGACUGGAAUUCCUGGUGUAGCGGUGAAAUGCGCAGAUAUCAGGAGGAACACCGGUGGCGAAGGCGGGUCUCUGGGCCGAUACUGACGCUGAGGAGCGAAAGCGUGGGGAGCGAACAGG